This 94-nucleotide transfer RNA is filed under the name Xylaria castorea. RNAcentral describes it as "tRNA-Thr". It matches the Rfam family "tRNA". Rfam says of the family: Transfer RNA (tRNA) molecules are approximately 80 nucleotides in length. Lineage: Eukaryota; Fungi; Ascomycota; Sordariomycetes; Xylariales; Xylariaceae. The record is from RNAcentral. RNAcentral also lists the same sequence under 2 other names.
GCCUCUAUGGCACAGGGGUAAUGCGUGUCACUCGUACAGCGAUUAAGCUUGCGGUGUAAUGACAAGAUCCGCGGUUCGAUUCCGCGUGGAGGCA